UGGGGAAUAUUGCACAAUGGGCGCAAGCCUGAUGCAGCCAUGCCGCGUGUAUGAAGAAGGCCUUCGGGUUGUAAAGUACUUUCAGUCGGGAGGAAGGUGUCAAGGUUAAUAACCUUGGCAAUUGACGUUACCGACAGAAGAAGCACCGGCUAACUCCGUGCCAGCAGCCGCGGUAAUACGGAGGGUGCAAGCGUUAAUCGGAAUUACUGGGCGUAAAGCGCACGCAGGCGGUUUGUUAAGUCAGAUGUGAAAUCCCCGGGCUCAACCUGGGAACUGCAUCUGAUACUGGCAAGCUUGAGUCUCGUAGAGGGGGGUAGAAUUCCAGGUGUAGCGGUGAAAUGCGUAGAGAUCUGGAGGAAUACCGGUGGCGAAUGCGGCCCCCUGGACGAAGACUGACGCUCAGGUGCGAAAGCGUGGGGAGCAAACAGG
This 429-nucleotide ribosomal RNA is filed under the name Chloroflexota bacterium. RNAcentral's name for it is "Chloroflexi bacterium partial 16S ribosomal RNA". It matches the Rfam family "Bacterial small subunit ribosomal RNA", at positions 355 to 776 of the family's 1533-position model. Lineage: Bacteria; Bacillati; Chloroflexota. The record is from RNAcentral.